AACGAACGCUGGCGGCAGGCCUAACACAUGCAAGUCGAACGCCGUAGCAAUACGGAGUGGCAGACGGGUGAGUAACACGUGGGAACGUACCCUUCGGUUCGGGAUAACUCAGGGAAACUUGAGCUAAUACCGGAUACGUCCGAGAGGAGAAAGAUUUAUUGCCGAGGGAUCGGCCCGCGUCUGAUUAGCUUGUUGGUGAGGUAACGGCUCACCAAGGCGACGAUCAGUAGCUGGUCNGAGAGGAUGAUCAGCCACAUUGGGACUGAGACACGGCCCAAACUCCUACGGGAGGCAGCAGUGGGGAAGUAUUGGACAAUGGGCGCAAGCCUGAUCCAGCCAUGCCGCGUGGGUGAUGAAGGCCCUAGGGUUGU
This 371-nucleotide ribosomal RNA is filed under the name uncultured bacterium. Its description in RNAcentral is "bacterial SSU rRNA". It matches the Rfam family "Bacterial small subunit ribosomal RNA", at positions 29 to 426 of the family's 1533-position model. The record is from RNAcentral.